RNAcentral lists this long non-coding RNA (501 nucleotides) under Lathyrus oleraceus (garden pea). Its description in RNAcentral is "Pisum sativum (pea) long non-coding RNA (PSAT_LNC014034)". The record is from RNAcentral. Lineage: Eukaryota; Viridiplantae; Streptophyta; Magnoliopsida; Fabales; Fabaceae.
GUCAAUAAUUGACCAAAAGUUAACCUAAGUGAAAAAGAUGUAAAUCAACAAUCAAAGUCUCAUGGUUAACCUAAACAUGUAAUAUAAUGAUCAAAUAUGAAUGAAUGAACUUGCAAAUCAAGAUACCACAUGACUUGAACUAAAAAAUGUCAUUUUGCACCAAUGAUCAUGUCAUGCUAUCAGAUAUAUUAUACCGAUGACAAGCAAAUCCUAAGAUAAACUGUGGAUCAACCAACUUUGAUCAUCUGAAUCAUAUUGAAUGAAAUUAAUUAAGAGGUAUUGAUGAAUCAAGAAUCAAAGCCCAAUGCCCUUAUGAGACCUCAAACAACUAGACCAAAAUAAUAAUGCUAUAUUGUAAUCAUAAGUAAGGAAUCAAGGACCAUGAGCCUAUGCAAUUGAAAACAUCAGGAGACCCGCUUCCAAGAGACGCAUUUUACAAAAUCAGAACAGAUCUUGGAAUUCUAAGUGAAAGUGAUAUUUAAUCAAGUCAAAAUCCUUGAG